Long non-coding RNA from Nematostella vectensis (starlet sea anemone), 1425 nucleotides. RefSeq lists it as uncharacterized. NCBI's taxonomy places the organism in Eukaryota, Metazoa, Cnidaria, Anthozoa, Actiniaria, Edwardsiidae. The record is from RefSeq and is a predicted model, not a curated record. The transcript is spliced from 2 exons.
CAAAAUAGCCGAACCAACUGCAAAUCAACUGUUAAAUGGAUGUACUUAGGAUUUAGAAAUCACAAAAAGUACAAUAUGGCUUGCCGUACUUCAUUUAAUUUGAUAGUUUUGUAACCGGCUAAAUUGACAUUUAUUUUAUGGGCGGAAGCCCUCUUCAAAUAGUGCGCUCAGGCAAGACAUCCACACGAAACACGCUCAUCGACAGACAAUGGGAGAGCUCUGACAGACCCGAGGGAGAGAGUGCUUGAAUUCCAUUUGCUGCCAUGGAGCUAAAAACCAGCGGGAAGUAGCGCCCAUAGAGUUAAAAACUUUGAGAACUGUUGAUUAAACAGUUAUCUCAUUGCUUACUUUACGUCGAGAAAACGCGUUUUCUAAACACUUCGGCUUUGAUACAUGUUAAAACACCUACUCUUUCCGUAAUACUGAAAGUGUUUGAUCUAGAUUUAUUAUAAGCCCUUGAGAGGGUGAGAAAUAUUACAUUACAUUAGCGCAAUAAAAAGUAACUAACCAAUUAUAGAAAUAGCCGAAACCCUUCGCAAAUAAUUCACACACGUAAAAGAUUUGAGACUUACAAAUAGUUUUUUUUCCGGAGCAUAAUAAAAGAGACAUAGAAAAGGUUUUAUUUCUUUGAAAUUCAAGCUGACAAGUUCCCGGCGAAGAGAGAGACAGAAGGAGUUUUUGUCAAAGUACGAUUCGUUUGUUCAUCUCAGUAAAUUCGCACAAAAUAGCUCGGAUUACUGUCAAUACUCUUUUGUAAUGAAAGUAUUUUUUCUUCGAUGACAGAAGUGUCAGCCCGAACUUGAGCUUACGAUUCUUCGUUUUGUUUUAGUACCGGUUUCGCGUUCAACUUGUCAGCGUAUUGCUAAAGCUCAUAAGAAAAUAGCCAUACUAUACUCAUAAAACCCAACCAAUUGACAACUAUUGCCAAUAAACCACAAAACAACGACAUUCAAGUUUUCGCACUGAAACCUUGGCGAGCGUUAGGACAUUUCCAACAGAAACGUCUCAAGAGUUUACUUGGUAAAGACAUCGUCCAAAACAGCUUGCUUCUGUUUCAUUCAAAGUGUAAUCGUUUAUUUUUGAUUAGGUAAUAGUAUCAUGGAUGGACGAGCAAGUAAAAAGCAAAUGUAAGCAGUUUUCAUUAAGCCAUAAGCAUAUGUUUUCCAUCUGUACCGUUCCCAGACAUGACUAAGUAAAUGCAUCCUGGGUCUCAGCAUAAGCAAGAGCAGCUAUAUCCAGACUCAAUAGGUCGACAAAAAUUAUCUGCUCAAAACCCUUCCUUAUUUUGAAAAUAAUUUAGAAGUCUACAAGCACAAAGUAAACUUUCCAGCCCCUUCUAUGCAAUUUUGAAAGGCCAUUGAAUAGAUAUUUAAAAAUCUAUUAGGCGUAGCGAAAAUAAUAUUUGGAUUUCCAAUAAAGACAAUA